UUUUAGUUUAUUUAUUUAUUUAUUU
This 25-nucleotide small RNA is filed under the name Arabidopsis thaliana (thale cress). Its description in RNAcentral is "ATSL030880". Lineage: Eukaryota; Viridiplantae; Streptophyta; Magnoliopsida; Brassicales; Brassicaceae. The record is from RNAcentral.